Molecule: ribosomal RNA, 1140 nt
Filed under: Bacillus pumilus
Lineage: Bacteria; Bacillati; Bacillota; Bacilli; Caryophanales; Bacillaceae
Description: bacterial SSU rRNA
Rfam family: Bacterial small subunit ribosomal RNA
Source: RNAcentral
CGCGGGGCGGGUGCUAUACAUGCAGUCGAGCGGACAGAAGGGAGCUUGCUCCCGGAUGUUAGCGGCGGACGGGUGAGUAACACGUGGGUAACCUGCCUGUAAGACUGGGAUAACUCCGGGAAACCGGAGCUAAUACCGGAUAGUUCCUUGAACCGCAUGGUUCAAGGAUGAAAGACGGUUUCGGCUGUCACUUACAGAUGGACCCGCGGCGCAUUAGCUAGUUGGUGAGGUAACGGCUCACCAAGGCGACGAUGCGUAGCCGACCUGAGAGGGUGAUCGGCCACACUGGGACUGAGACACGGCCCAGACUCCUACGGGAGGCAGCAGUAGGGAAUCUUCCGCAAUGGACGAAAGUCUGACGGAGCAACGCCGCGUGAGUGAUGAAGGUUUUCGGAUCGUAAAGCUCUGUUGUUAGGGAAGAACAAGUGCAAGAGUAACUGCUUGCACCUUGACGGUACCUAACCAGAAAGCCACGGCUAACUACGUGCCAGCAGCCGCGGUAAUACGUAGGUGGCAAGCGUUGUCCGGAAUUAUUGGGCGUAAAGGGCUCGCAGGCGGUUUCUUAAGUCUGAUGUGAAAGCCCCCGGCUCAACCGGGGAGGGUCAUUGGAAACUGGGAAACUUGAGUGCAGAAGAGGAGAGUGGAAUUCCACGUGUAGCGGUGAAAUGCGUAGAGAUGUGGAGGAACACCAGUGGCGAAGGCGACUCUCUGGUCUGUAACUGACGCUGAGGAGCGAAAGCGUGGGGAGCGAACAGGAUUAGAUACCCUGGUAGUCCACGCCGUAAACGAUGAGUGCUAAGUGUUAGGGGGUUUCCGCCCCUUAGUGCUGCGGCUAAGCAUUAAGCACUCCGCCUGGGGGAGUACGGGUCGCAAGACUGAGCUCAUAGGAAUUGACGGGGGCCCGCCCCAGGCGGUGGAGCAUGUGGUUGAUUUCGGAGCAACGCGAGGAACAUACUUGUCCGUGGACAUGCGUCUGACAGCACUAGAGAUAGGGGCUUUGCCUUCCGUGACAGGAUGGAGAGGAGGUGCAUUGCUGUCGUCUGCUCCUCGUUCUGAGAAUGGAUGGGUUAAGUCACACACAGUCACAACCCUGGACCUAGUUGCUAGCAUUAAAUUGGUCACUCUGAAGGAUGACAUGGC